Molecule: ribosomal RNA, 253 nt
Filed under: uncultured bacterium
Lineage: Bacteria
Description: partial 16S ribosomal RNA
Rfam family: Bacterial small subunit ribosomal RNA
Source: RNAcentral
UACGAAGGGUGCAAACGUUGCUCGGAAUUAUUGGGCGUAAAGCGCACGUAGGCGGCUUGGCAAGUCGGAUGUGAAAUCCCUCGGCUCAACCAAGGAAGUGCAUCCGAAACUGCCGAGCUUGAGUACUUAAGAGGAUCGCGGAAUUCCCGGUGUAGAGGUGAAAUUCGUAGAUAUUCGGAAGAACACCAGUGGCGAAGGCGGCUCACUGGACUGGUAUUGACGCUGAGGUGCGAAAGCGUGGGGAGCAAACAGG